RNAcentral lists this ribosomal RNA (253 nucleotides) under uncultured bacterium. RNAcentral's name for it is "partial 16S ribosomal RNA". It matches the Rfam family "Bacterial small subunit ribosomal RNA", at positions 524 to 776 of the family's 1533-position model. The record is from RNAcentral.
GACGUAGGAGACGAGCGUUAUCCGGAUUUACUGGGCGUAAAGCGCGUGCAGGCGGCUCGUUAAGUUGGAUGUGAAAGCCCCCGGCUAAACUGGGGGAGGUCGUUCAAGACUGGCGGGCUAGAGUGCAGCAGAGGAGAGUGGAAUUCCGAGUGUAGCGGUAAAAUGCACAGAUAUUCGGAAGAACACCAGAGGCGAAGGCGGCUCCCUGGGCUGCAACUGACGCUCAGACGCGAAAGCUAGGGGAGCGAACGGG